RNAcentral lists this ribosomal RNA (404 nucleotides) under Actinomycetes bacterium. RNAcentral describes it as "Actinobacteria bacterium partial 16S ribosomal RNA". It matches the Rfam family "Bacterial small subunit ribosomal RNA", at positions 355 to 776 of the family's 1533-position model. The record is from RNAcentral. Lineage: Bacteria; Bacillati; Actinomycetota; Actinomycetes.
UGGGGAAUAUUGGACAAUGGGCGCAAGCCUGAUCCAGCCAUGCCGCGUGAGUGAUGAAGGCCCUAGGGUUGUAAAGCUCUUUCACCGGUGAAGAUAAUGACGGUAACCGGAGAAGAAGCCCCGGCUAACUUCGUGCCAGCAGCCGCGGUAAUACGAAGGGGGCUAGCGUUGUUCGGAUUUACUGGGCGUAAAGCGCACGUAGGCGGACUUUUAAGUCAGGGGUGAAAUCCCGGGGCUCAACCCCGGAACUGCCUUUGAUACUGGCAGUCUUGAGUAUGGUAGAGGUGAGUGGAAUUCCGAGUGUAGAGGUGAAAUUCGUAGAUAUUCGGAGGAACACCAGUGGCGAAGGCGUCUCACUGGACCAUUACUGACGCUGAGGUGCGAAAGCGUGGGGAGCAAACAGG